RNAcentral lists this ribosomal RNA (406 nucleotides) under uncultured bacterium. Its description in RNAcentral is "partial 16S ribosomal RNA". It matches the Rfam family "Bacterial small subunit ribosomal RNA", at positions 30 to 526 of the family's 1533-position model. The record is from RNAcentral.
AUUGAACGCUGGCGGCAGGCCUAACACAUGCAAGUCGAACGAGUGGCGGACGGGUGAGUAAUGUCUGGGAAACUGCCUGAUGGAGGGGGAUAACUACUUGAAACGGUAGCUAAUACCGCAUACCAUCGGAUGUUCCCAGAUGGGAUUAGCUAGUAGGUGGGGUAACGGCUCACCUAGGCGACGAUCCCUAGCUGGUCUGAGAGGAUGACCAGCCACAUGGAAACUGAGACACGGUACAGACUCCUACGGGAGGUAGCAGUGGGGUAUAUUGCAGAAUGGGAGCAAGCCUGAUGCAGCCAUGCCGCGUGUAUGAAGAAGGCCUUCGGGUUGUAAAGUACUUUCAGCGGGGAGGCGUUACCCGCAGAAGAAGCACCGGCUAAAUCCGUGCCAGCAGCCGCGGUAAUAC